GCCCUGGUCUGAUGGCAGGCAAGUGGCUGCUGGCGACCUGGCCCGUCUGGGUGUUGAUCUGGCCUGGGGUCUGACGUGGAUGGCUCUUGGUUGCUGGCGGGACAGCGUGUAUCUGCUCUGGCCACUUCCGGCCACUUGGCCUGGGCCUCAGCACUCAGUGUAGCCUUUUCUGGGCCAAGCCCCCAUCCCCCUACCUAGGACUUUCCCGGCUCCAGAGGUCACCACGGCAGGCGGCAGGGAGGCUGCCAAAGCAAACCAGGCCCCGUGACUUGUGAGGCCGCCUGGCCUAGCAGGCACCACGCCACCGCCGCCACCGCCUCUGCCUCCCCGGCCGCCCGCUGCGGGGCCACCAUGCCGCUGCCCCGGCCUGGAGACUGACCCUCAACCGCACCAUCUCCAGGCUCUUCCCCCACCUGCUGGACCCCAGGGACCGAGGACUCCAGCACACUCUCCCAUCAGACUUGGAGAUUGGGCCCCCAGGUUUCUCCAUGUUCAGACUCGGGAGUCCAGCCCCCAAAUUCUUGCUUCCCCUCCGCCCUCUCUUCCCUCAGACCC
Molecule: long non-coding RNA, 555 nt
Filed under: Marmota marmota marmota (Alpine marmot)
Lineage: Eukaryota; Metazoa; Chordata; Mammalia; Rodentia; Sciuridae
Description: lncRNA (ENSMMMG00000006316.1)
Source: RNAcentral